RNAcentral lists this ribosomal RNA (497 nucleotides) under uncultured bacterium. RNAcentral's name for it is "partial 16S ribosomal RNA". It matches the Rfam family "Bacterial small subunit ribosomal RNA", at positions 28 to 507 of the family's 1533-position model. The record is from RNAcentral.
GAUGAACGCUGGCGGCGUGCCUAAUACAUGCAAGUCGAGCGAACGGACGAGAAGCUUGCUUCUCUGAUGUUAGCGGCGGACGGGUGAGUAACACGUGGAUAACCUACCUAUAAGACUGGGAUAACUUCGGGAAACCGGAGCUAAUACCGGAUAAUAUUUUGAACCGCAUGGUUCAAAAGUGAAAGACGGUCUUGCUGUCACUUAUAGAUGGAUCCGCGCUGCAUUAGCUAGUUGGUAAGGUAACGGCUUACCAAGGCAACGAUGCAUAGCCGACCUGAGAGGGUGAUAGGCCACCCUGGAACGGAGACACGGUCAAGAGUACUAAGGGAGGCAGCAGUAGGGAAUCUUACGCAGUGGGCGAAAGCAUGACGGAGCAACGGCGAGUGAGUGAUGACGGUCUUCGGAUCGUAAAACUCUGUUAUUAGGGAAGAACAUAUGUGUAAGUAACUGAGCACAUAUUGACGGUACCUAAUCAGAAAGCCACGGCUAACUACGUG